GACGAACGCUGGCGGCGUGCUUAACACAUGCAAGUCGUGCGGUAAGGCCCUUUCGGGGGUCCACGGACGUCAACGGGGUGAGUAACACUUAAGCAACCUGCCCUUCCCUUUGGGAUAACGGCCGCAACCGGUGGCUAAUACCGGUACUGACUUCUUCACGCAUGUGGGUGGUUGAAAAGCCUUCGGGGGGUGGGGGCUGGGUUCGCGGUCUAUCCGCUCGUUGUUGGGGUGUUGGCCUACCAAGGGUUUGACGGGUAGCCGGCCUGAGAGGGGGACCGGCCACCAGGGGACUGAGAGAGGGCCCAGAAGGCUACGGGAGGCAGCGGGGGGGAAUAUGGGACAAUGGGCGAAAGCCUGAGCCAGAAACGCCGGGUGAGGGAUGACGGCCUUCGGGGUGUAAACCUAUGUCGCAUGCGACGAAGCGAGAGUGACGGUAGCAGGUAAAGAAGCACCGGCCAACUACGUG
Molecule: ribosomal RNA, 466 nt
Filed under: uncultured bacterium
Lineage: Bacteria
Description: partial 16S ribosomal RNA
Rfam family: Bacterial small subunit ribosomal RNA
Source: RNAcentral